Molecule: ribosomal RNA, 301 nt
Filed under: uncultured bacterium
Lineage: Bacteria
Description: partial 16S ribosomal RNA
Rfam family: Bacterial small subunit ribosomal RNA
Source: RNAcentral
CAGUAGCCGCGGUAAUACGUAGGGCGCAAGCGUUGUCCGGAAUUAUUGGGCGUAAAGAGCUCGUAGGCGGUCUGUCGCGUCUGGUGUGAAAUCCCGAGGCUCAACCUCGGGCUUGCAUCGGGUACGGGCAGACUAGAGUGCGGUAGGGGAGACUGGAAUUCCUGGUGUAGCGGUGGAAUGCGCAGAUAUCAGGAGGAACACCGAUGGCGAAGGCAGGUCUCUGGGCCGCAACUGACGCUGAGGAGCGAAAGCAUGGGGAGCGAACAGGAUUAGAUACCCGCGUAGUCCCUGUCUCUUAUAC